Molecule: unclassified non-coding RNA, 271 nt
Filed under: uncultured fungus
Lineage: Eukaryota; Fungi
Description: partial contains small subunit ribosomal RNA, internal transcribed spacer 1, and 5.8S ribosomal RNA
Rfam family: Eukaryotic small subunit ribosomal RNA (bases 1-73)
Source: RNAcentral
UCAAACUUGGUCAUUUAGAGGAAGUAAAAGUCGUAACAAGGUUUCCGUAGGUGAACCUGCGGAAGGAUCAUUAUCGAGUUCGGGGCUUUGGCUCCAACUUCCAACCCUUGCUUAUCAGUCCAUGUUGCUUUGGCGGGUGCUCCCCCAGGGGACUCUCCCGCCAGAGGUCUUUGCAAACUCAGCUUGAAAACGUGCAGUCUGAACAAAAACAUAAUCGCAAAAAACUUUCAACAACGGAUCUCUUGGUUCUGGCAUCGAUGAAGAACGCAGC